This is an RNA transcript of Frankliniella occidentalis (western flower thrips), 3224 nucleotides long. RefSeq lists it as uncharacterized. The record is from RefSeq and is a predicted model, not a curated record. The transcript is spliced from 6 exons. NCBI's taxonomy places the organism in Eukaryota, Metazoa, Arthropoda, Insecta, Thysanoptera, Thripidae.
GUUUCGGCGUGGACGUCGACGUCCUGGACGCGCGCCGCUUCUUUCGCCGGCGUCAUCGCGCACCUCGCGUGUUCGCGUGCCGCCGCCGCCGUCCGUUGACGGCGACCUCGUUGCGUCGGUCGUUGCAGCGCUGUCGACGGCGCGCGGGCGUCGUGAGUCCCCGAACGGUGGGGUGUCCGUCGUAUUGGACGCGGCCUUGCCCGACCCGCGUUAUCGGGUACCUCGUAGUGUCACGCAGUGACCCGGGUCGCCGUCGUCCGGGCCGUGCCCCCUCACCCCUCUCAUUCUCUCCAGCCCAAACAUAUGAUCAGUAGGCAUCCUCUCACUUCCUCUCUCUCUCCCUCUCGCGCGCUUUACCCUCUCGACCCCAGCCGUCCAGAUAUCUCUCUUACUCUUGGUAGGAAUCUUGCAUCGCGCAGGUGAUGAGUCCCGGUGCCCUCGACGAGUAGCACCCGUGAGCGCUACUCGAGGAGCGCCCCCCCUCUCCCCCCGUCGCUGUGGCUCAUGCGCCCACCCCCACCCUUCCACCGCUCCCUUCUGCCCCUCUCCCCCCCCCCUCUCUCUCUCUCUCUCUGUCUAUCUCACUCUAUCUCUCCCCCUCUCUCCCUCUCUCUCGCUCUCUUGCUUUGUGCCUCCCCCUCUACUUUCCUCCGUCAUUCGGUAGUUAUUCUUUUAUAGCGAAAAACCGAGGCGCGCGGGUUCCCUCUGUUCCGCAAGUCAGUCAAUGUAAGGUUUCCUCGUUCCUCUGGAGGAGUUGUCACACCGGCGGGCGGGAGCGAGCGAGCGUCGCUGAGUUGGGGGGAGAGAGAAAGAGCGAGAGAGAGAGCGAGAGAGCGCCGCCAUCCUGCUACCUGUCAGAGGCCCUGCCCGAGGCUCACCCGGCCCGCCCCGGCGCGGCACAUGAACUGUUGACAGUCUCGCGUCGUCGGCGACGGAGCCUCCUCCGUCACGUGGACGACGUCGGCAUCACGAUCUUCGACGUGCAUUGAGAUCCCUGACACGGCCGGCGACCCGGUGGACUGUGCGCGUGCGCGUGCGUGUGUGUGCGUGUGUCUGUGUUGUGUUCAAGUGCUCCAAGUGAUUGUGCUUCAGUGCUUUGUGUUGUGCUUACACCGCUUUGUUUUUGUUUUAUUUUAUUCAUUCCGUAUUUUACAAUAUGGUGGCAAAGUGAAUGAUGUGUUGUGUGUUAUUUUCAUUUUAUUUUCAAACCGCUUCCUUUCGCGAGUGAAUGCAGUAGUGUGCUUCAUUUUGUGUUUAAGUUGUUGAUUUUGUGCUUGCGCUUGAUAUGGUGUGCACUGCAAGUAGUGAGAGUGGGAAGUGCUACACUGUGCGUGAGUGCGCGCCACAGAGUUCGUGCGUGUGGUUGGUGUGACCGUGCACUGACAGUGCUGCACUGUGCGUGAGUGUUCGUGCGUCGCGUGCGUGCGUGUGGUGGUGACAGCGGCGUGGACGCCUCUCCCUACCUGUUGAUCUGAGUGGGGCAUAUCGCUCACUGAUUGGAGACCAAGUCAGCUGGGGCCCCUCAGAGUGGCCUCUCUGGGUGGCCGCCAUAUUGGAAUCGGCUUUGUGAAAGGGGACCCCUGCGGCAACCAGUCAGGUUGACUCGAGAACGGGUCUCAUCGACUUUCGGACGCCGGCGGGGGGCCUCAUGUCAGCGACGUCGUCCUCGUGGCCAGGAGGGAGGACACCUCGUCACGUCAACGCCGUCGUCCAGGAUGGUGUAGUCCAGCAUCGUGCAUCAAGUGGCUGCAGCAGCAGCAGCUCCUUGUGACCUUUGGAUGAUGAUGACGAUGGUACUGAAGAUGCUCAGGAAGUUGGGGCAGAGUUCUUACUUCCGGUGCGCGCACACAGUAGUGCGGUGUGUCCGGGACGAUGCCUCGCGAGCGCGUGUGGCAGUGCGUCCCCUGUGUCGGUCGGUACUCGCCGGUACCCGUCGCGCGCGGUACGCACUCGGCCGGAUGUGGCCACCGAUUCAAGAUUCUGUGGAUACGGUGCUUGUGCGUGUGUGUUUGUGUGUGCUUCCGGGCGCCCCCGCCCGAAAAACAUGGAAAACUGGUGGUCGAAGUGGCUGCUCUUCGUCCUUGGAUGUCUGCCGCCGCGGCCCGCGGUCACCGUCCUGCAAGCAAGAUCAAAAUGUGGAUACAAUUACUCACUCUUUUGGAUUUCACAACCGCUCCUCGCUAGGUAGCUGCUAUGCGUCGGGCUCACUCGUCAGUGAUGAUGUGCAGUGCCACCGCACUGACCUGCGCGACAACACCCACGCCGCGGAUGACACCCGACCCGCUUUGGAUAACUUAUAGCUUCAAGAGCGAAGAAUGUCGCCGACGCGCAGCGGAUAACCGGCCACGCCCUGUGCAGACCGCACGUCCAGAGUGUCAUCACUCGCUGCCGACGCCGCGGAUCUGCACCGGUCGCCCGCCAGAUCCGCAGUCGUCGUCCCGAAUUCGGAAGCGACAAGCGACGCUCUACAAACCGCGACCCGCGUGUCGUUAUACGGCCGCCCUAAUUGCCCCAUAAAUCAAUUUGAGCCGUAAAGCCUCCUCCAUAAACACCCACCCACCAGCCGGCCACGUCUUCAUCCACGCGACCGACCGUGCAGCGGUGCACAGGGUGAAAUAAAAUUCAAGUUUAGUCUGCAGGGGUCUGAAAAACAAUUAUGUUAUUUGAAAUAUUGUGUUUCAGGUACACGUUGAGUAUUAUCUGUUGCAUUGCAUCAAUUUGCCAACGUAAUUUAGAAAACUAAAAAUUUACCGAAGAGCAUGACAGAAAAACAUCUCUUCCAAUCUUUUAGCUGUGUAGUUACAGUACCAUCACUAUCAUUUACAGCUUAAAACGUGUGAAACAUUUUUAUUUAAAUUUCUCUCUGAAAGCAAGGUAAUGGUGUAACUAUUUCGGAGUGAUGACCUAUCCUUCCGAAACCAACUGGAAGCAGAACUUCCUGUGACAAAUGAUGCCAGGGCUCGUCGUUCUUUCCUUUGUCCAUCAAUUGGCUGAUUUGAAUUUUGCUCCAGAAGUGCUGCCGUGGCUAAUUAAAAGACAAAGCCACUAACCACGUGACAAGGCGACACCUCUCUCCUCCCUUCCGCUUGCCUCGCUGACCGAACGAGCUGUUUGAAAUUCACUGAAUCCAUAAACACGAGCCAUUAGGAGAUGUAUAAAGAUAAUUUUUACUUUCCGUUUAAUGGCAAAUAAAAUUUUUGAGUGCAGUGUGCCACGGAAGCCGA